This 214-nucleotide non-coding RNA is filed under the name Mycoplasmatota bacterium. RNAcentral describes it as "Tenericutes bacterium T-box sequence". It matches the Rfam family "T-box leader". From Rfam's summary of the family: Uncharged tRNA acts as the effector for transcription antitermination of genes in the T-box leader family. The record is from RNAcentral. Lineage: Bacteria; Bacillati; Mycoplasmatota.
UAUAAAUCAAUGAUGAGAGAGUAAUGAUCUGACCUUUUGCCUAGAGAGCUGGAGAUGGUGGAAACCAGUCAAAAACAGAUGAUGAAGAACACUCGGAGAGAUAGAAGAAAUCACUCGUGAAAGUAGAACUAUCCGCAUACCCGCGUUAAGGGUUUCAAGGGCUAGAAUUCAUUUCUAGAACUAAGGUGGUACCGCGUAAAUUUACGUCCUUAGA